Molecule: ribosomal RNA, 264 nt
Filed under: uncultured bacterium
Lineage: Bacteria
Description: partial 16S ribosomal RNA
Rfam family: Bacterial small subunit ribosomal RNA
Source: RNAcentral
GUCCACGCCCUAAACGAUGGCAACUGGGUGUUGGGGAAGUGAUUCCUUGGUACCGUAGCUAACGCGUGAAGUUGCCCGCCUGGGGAGUACGGCCGCAAGGUUAAAACUCAAAGGAAUUGACGGGGACCCGCACAAGCGGUGGAUGAUGUGGAUUAAUUCGAUGCAACGCGAACAACCUUACCUACCCUUGACAUGUCUGGAACCCUGCUGAGAGGUGGGGGUGCCCGAAAGGGAAUCGGAACACAGGUGCUGCAUGGCUGUCGU